This 1483-nucleotide long non-coding RNA is filed under the name Parus major (Great Tit). Its description in RNAcentral is "lncRNA (ENSPMJG00000017810.1)". Lineage: Eukaryota; Metazoa; Chordata; Aves; Passeriformes; Paridae. The record is from RNAcentral.
AUAACAGUGAGUGCUGUUAUUUUUUGCUCUAUUAAUCCUCUUAUCUUUCUGCCUGUGAACUAUUGUUCACCCCAUAUUGGCCACUGGUACAAAUUGUGCCCUGAAAUCCAAAUACACACAAAAAAAGGAGAGAGAGCAGAGGAAACGAUGGCAGGAACGAGCUCAAUAAUUUCCACUGUGAUAACUUGGGCAGGGUUUGUUUAUGAAUCCCAAGGAGGAACAGAAUCCUCCAGGUCGUGCUUGAAGUCACUGGGAGAGACAAAAACUCUCAGUUUUCCUCUCAGUGCCAGCCUGAUUUCAUAUUCUCCCUCCUCUCCACGUAUUUACAGUUUUCCUCCUUUAUUUUUCCUCAGAAAUCUGCCCAGGUGAGGCUGCACGAGUAAUUCUGAGCAGCCAGGGCCUGAUUAUCAGCCCUGCCCACGGAGAAUUCCCUCGGGUGCUGCCUUCUCUCUGCUUCCCAAUAAAUAUUUUUAUUUAUUGCUGUGUUAGGAGGGAUCUCACUGCAGCCUCUCCCCAGUGGCUUUUCCAUGACUUCAAGCCAGGAAAUCUCCAGUGAACCUUAACAGGUGCAGUGAAGAGGAAAACCUCACUGGCUGAGGUGAAACACAGGAACCUUUUGGGGUGAUAAAUAAAACUUCCAGACUUUUCCAGUUUUUGGUUUUUACCUUUUAGAAGGGUCAAGCUGGAGGCUGUUCAGGUGGAAUGAAAGGGAAUGUGAGCCCCUGCUCUGCUCACGGUCCUGGCAGGAAUUCUGCAGCAAUUCGCUGCAGAUCAGCGAGGAUUCAUCAAAGUUGUAUCAAGUUGAAAGAGUGCCCAAGGGUGCUGCCUGGGAGCUCCAGCAGCUUUUUCUGCACAAAACAACUCUCUCUGCCCUUUGCUUUUCUAAUCCCAAACUAGCCUGGGGCUCCGGUUCACCUUCUGGAGGAGCAGCUCCGCCACCUUCCCAAGGGCUGCUGCGGAGAGAGGAUUUUAAAUUCCAGCAGGAUGAAAGGAAGCGGUGCAGGGGCUCCUCCAGGCCAGGACAGGGGGGUUUUGUGCCCACCCUGCAGGGGACACCCGGGUCAGGCUGUCCUGCCUCAAGUUGUGACCCUUUUUCUGUUCCGUGCUGUUCAGGCUGGGAUUGUUUCCCCCUGUGCGGGGUGAAGAUCUGCUGGGAGUUUUUGUUUGACAACAGCUUUUGCUGGCAGCAAAGAGAAACAUUCUCUAUUUCACAUGUUUUUAUGGCUUUUCAUUCCCUUUUCCACCCAUGCAAAGGCCUUUCCCAGGUAAACUCCAGUGGCUGUAAUCUCCAUUCCUCUUAGAGUUUGAGAAGUGGGAAGGAGGAGGAAUAUUGGCAGUUCUGAUGGCAGGGGUUCUGCCAGCCCCAGGUGAGGAGGCAGAGGAGCAGAUGGAGGAAUUUAAAAUUCUGUGCAGCACAAAGACCUUGAAAUAACGAAAGGGAAAAAAAAAAAAAAUAAAAUCAAAAUGCAAACUGACUCCUCCA